This 358-nucleotide ribosomal RNA is filed under the name Klebsiella pneumoniae. RNAcentral's name for it is "bacterial LSU rRNA". It matches the Rfam family "Bacterial large subunit ribosomal RNA", at positions 2585 to 2925 of the family's 2925-position model. Lineage: Bacteria; Pseudomonadati; Pseudomonadota; Gammaproteobacteria; Enterobacterales; Enterobacteriaceae. The record is from RNAcentral.
CAUUUAAAGUGGUACGCGAGCUGGGUUUAGAACGUCGUGAGACAGUUCGGUCCCUAUCUGCCGUGGGCGCUGGAGAAUUGAGGGGGGCUGCUCCUAGUACGAGAGGACCGGAGUGGACGCAUCACUGGUGUUCGGGUUGUCAUGCCAAUGGCACUGCCCGGUAGCUAAAUGCGGAAGAGAUAAGUGCUGAAAGCAUCUAAGCACGAAACUUGCCCCGAGAUGAGUUCUCCCUGAGACUAUAAGUCUCCUGAAGGAACGUUAAAGACGAUGACGUUGAUAGGCCGGGUGUGUAAGCGCAGCGAUGCGUUGAGCUAACCGGUACUAAUGAACCGUGAGGCUUAACCUUACAACGCCGAAG